CUAUUGUAUACUAUUGUGGCUAACCUGUGUAAAGCAAUGGCCUGGGCAAGAGAACUUUUCAGUUCCAUUACCCUAGGGUCAGUCUUUGGCCAAGAUUAAACUCACAGUCAUGUCCAGGUACCAACUGAUGAAUACAAGAGGGGACAAAGUCUUGGGGAACCCGUGGGGAUGCGCAGUGAGCAGGCACCUGUCCUGGCUGUGCUGUUCUGCAGGGAGCCAGCCUGAUGUCCAGUCACCUGCCAGAUUAGGGGCAGGUCAGAGAAGGCACCUGAGACAGUGGUAGCACAUCAUGGGACAGAGCCAGAUAACCACCUUCUUCCUCUCUACGCUAGGCCCUAUGGAAAGGACGUGCCUCGGCUAGACUACUGGCUGGCCUAUGAGACCAUCAUGAAGAAGUUUGGAGGAAGACCCCACUGGGCAAAGGCCCACAAUUGCACCCGGAAGGACUUUGAGGAAAUGUACCCCACCUUUCACAAGUUCUGUGACAUCCGUGAGAAGCUGGACCCCACUGGAAUGUUCUUGAAUUCGUACCUGGAGAAAGUCUUCUACUAAAGCAGGAGUGGAAACAAACCACCCUGACCCCUCACACUUCUGCUGCCCCCGGGGGUCUGGGGAGCAGAGAAGUGCCUCACAAGCACAAUGGGAACUGACCUCUCCUCCUGACCACAAAGAAAGGCUGGGCUCUGGGCGGGUCCUCUCUGCCUUCGGCAUCAUUUCCCUUACAUCCAGGCAAGAAGUGGCCUCUCACUCAAAUUCCUG
RNAcentral lists this long non-coding RNA (759 nucleotides) under Rattus norvegicus (Norway rat). RNAcentral's name for it is "long non-coding RNA NONRATT010534". The record is from RNAcentral. Lineage: Eukaryota; Metazoa; Chordata; Mammalia; Rodentia; Muridae.